UGUUUCAUUGGCAGGCUACAAUAAUGGGGCCAAAUGACAGCCCCUAUCAGGGUGGAGUAUUUUUCUUGACUAUUCAUUUCCCAACAGAUUACCCCUUCAAACCGCCUAAGGUUGCAUUUACAACAAGAAUUUAUCAUCCAAAUAUUAACAGUAAUGGCAGCAUUUGUCUUGAUAUUCUACGGUCACAGUGGUCUCCAGCACUAACUAUUUCAAAAGUACUUUUGUCCAUCUGUUCUCUGUUGUGUGAUCCCAAUCCAGAUGAUCCUUUAGUGCCUGAGAUUGCUCGGAUCUACAAAACAGAUAGAGAAAAGUACAACAGAAUAGCUCGGGAAUGGACUCAGAAGUAUGCGAUGUAAUUAAAGAAAUUAUUGGAUAACCUCUACAAAUAAAGCUAGGGGAACUCUGAAAGAGAGAAAGUCCUUUUGAUUUCCAUUUGACUGCUUUCUAUGAGCCCACGCCUCAUCUUCCCCUGUGCACAUGUUUACCUGACACAGCAGUGCUGCGUGUUGUACAUACUUGGAACAACAAACUAGAAAUACUGUACUUCUGUACCAACAUUGCCUCCUAGCAGAGAAGUGUGUGUGUGAGAAGCCAGUUCUCCGGGCGUAACCUAGGUGUGAGACUAAAAGCUUUCCUUAUUGACUUAACUUUGGAUAAUGGCAAGAUGUGAUGGGUAGUGGGUACACAGCGUGUGCUUGAAUGGGAGGAAAAAGCUCCAGUGACCCAUAGGAGAUGGUCCUUAAGUGGACUCCAUCUAAUCCCCUAACAGUCGUGAACAGCAUGGUGAAGAGCGUGAAGCUGUUUCUGUAUUCCUUUCAUCCUGAAAGACCUACAGCUUAGGAGAAAGUUAUGACCAAGCAGAGUAAACUACAUGCUGUAUUUUAAGGUCUAAGUUUAACUGAUCAACAUUUAAAUGGACUGGAGCUGUUAGUACAUAAAGUGUGAUGGACUUUGUUCCCAACACUUUCAUAUCUCCCUGCCCUUUCAGCCUUCCUCCUUUUAGCCCCUUUCCAUAAUCUUUGGUUUGUAUGUGGUUUCUCAGUUAAUACAUAGCUAAUAGCUCUUAUUUUUCUUAUGUUUUUAACUGCUUUAGGCCUAUUUCGAUGUAAGGGUGAACAUUCAUUUGAUGGAAACACUUGUGUAUAUUUAAAGACCCAGUUGCUCCUCUGGAGCUUGUACGUUCAAGAAUGAUUAAUCUGUGUAAUAAACUGAUUACUACAGUCAUUACAUAUAAUUUUGUGUGAAUAGGCUUUUUGAUUUAAAAACUUGGUCUAGCUAAGAUUAGUGGUGGAUUUUUCCUCAUCCCUGAAAUGUUUUCAUUUAUAUUUGUUGCAUUUCAAAAUCAUGAAACAAUUCCAGUUUACAUACUAAAAGAGAUGUGAGAGUAAUUUUAUUAAACAAGAUAGAGGCGUAAGCUUAAAGGCAUUUUCAUGAAACUUACAUGUGCACCAUUCCAGGAACAUGACUGUUAAACUAAAGAAAUUUGCUUUGUUAGUGAAAGUGAGCAGCACUUCACUAGAACCUUACGACAGUCUCUUGGUACAUAGGACAUAGGACACAAGGUGUUGCUGUUGAUGAGCUAAUUGAUUGUAACUAUAACGAGUAACUGACCAAACCUGGGAAACAUGAGCACAAUCUUGUAUCGGAGAGUCUACGUUAUUACUUUGCACUAACAUUUGCAGGAUGUCCAUUGGUUUUAAAUUGUACUGUAUGUGGCUUUUUGAAGUCUUCCUUUGACUCUAGUAAAAUGUAGUUUGGAAUUUGUAAACAACUGUUAAUCCAGAAACAUUCAUGUGAACUAGGCAAGUUAUCUCCCCUCAUCCCUUUUCCUAACCUAAAUGUAAGCCAGGCCAGCUUGAAGGCCAUGGCUGACGCUCUCUAGUCAUCAGGUUCUUUGAAAUGCAUCUUUACACUCUUGCACAAAAAUUGAGGAAUAAAUGACCACUGCUUUUGGUUUUAAACUUG
Molecule: long non-coding RNA, 1965 nt
Filed under: Rattus norvegicus (Norway rat)
Lineage: Eukaryota; Metazoa; Chordata; Mammalia; Rodentia; Muridae
Description: long non-coding RNA NONRATT013342
Source: RNAcentral